AAGUCGAGCGAGAACCGGGACUUCGGUCCCGGGGACAGCGGCGAACGGGUGAGUAACACGUGGGUAAUCUGCCCUCGAUUCUGGGAUAGCCCGGGGAAACCCGGAUUAAUACCGGAUAGCCUUCACGGUCUACGGGCCGGGAAGAAAAGGUAGCUUCGGCCUCCGAUCGAGGAUGAGCCCGCGGUGGAUUAGCUUGUUGGCGGGGUAACGGCCCACCAAGGCGACGAUCCAUAGCUGGUCUGAGAGGACGAUCAGCCACACUGGGACUGAGACACGGCCCAGACUCCUACGGAGGCAGCAGUGGGGAAUCUUGCGCAAUGGGCGAAAGCCUGACGCAGCGACGCCGCGUGGGGGAAGAAGGCCUUCGGGUUGUAAACCUCUUUCAGGAGGGACGAAGCCACUCGGGUGAACAGCCCAGAGGGUGACGGUACCUCCAGAAGAAGCCCCGGCUAACUACGUGCCAGCAGCCGCGGUAAUACGUAGGGGGCAAGCGUUGUCCGGAUUUAUUGGGCGUAAAGAGCGUGUAGGCGGCCAGGUAGGUGGGUUGUGAAAACUGGAGGCUCAACCUUCAGACGUCGACCCAAACCCCCUGGCUAGAGUCCGGAAGAGGAGAGUGGAAUUCCUGGUGUAGCGGUGAAAUGCGCAGAUACGAGGAAGAACACCCGUGGCGAAGGCGGCUCUCUGGGACGGUACUGACGCUGAGACGCGAAAGCGUGGGGAGCGAACAGGAUUAGAUACCCUGGUAGUCCACGCCGUAAACGAUGGGUGCUAGGUGUGGGAGGUGUCGACUCCUCCCGUGCCGAAGCUAACGCAUUAAGCACCCCGCCUGGGGAGUACGGCCGCAAGGCUAAAACUCAAAGGAAUUGACGGGGGCCCGCACAAGCAGCGGAGCAUGUGGUUUAAUUCGACGCAACGCGAAGAACCUUACCAAGGCUUGACAUGCAUUUGAAAAGCGUGGAAACACGUUCCCUC
This 972-nucleotide ribosomal RNA is filed under the name uncultured Gaiella sp. RNAcentral describes it as "bacterial SSU rRNA". It matches the Rfam family "Bacterial small subunit ribosomal RNA", at positions 59 to 1017 of the family's 1533-position model. The record is from RNAcentral. Lineage: Bacteria; Bacillati; Actinomycetota; Thermoleophilia; Gaiellales; Gaiellaceae.